UACGGAGGGUGCAAGCGUUAUCCGGAUUUACUGGGUUUAAAGGGUGCGUAGGUGGGUUGGUAAGUCAGUGGUGAAAUACUUUCGCUUAACGAAGGAACUGCCAUUGAUACUACCAGUCUUGAAUACAGUGGAGGUAGGCGGAAUGCGUCAUGUAGCGGUGAAAUGCUUAGAUAUGACGCAGAACACCAAUUGCGAAGGCAGCUUGCUACACUGUUAUUGACACUGAGGCACGAAAAGCGUGGGGGAUCAAACAGG
RNAcentral lists this ribosomal RNA (255 nucleotides) under uncultured bacterium. RNAcentral's name for it is "partial 16S ribosomal RNA". It matches the Rfam family "Bacterial small subunit ribosomal RNA", at positions 524 to 776 of the family's 1533-position model. The record is from RNAcentral.